GCCAUAUCAAGUUGAAACAUAGGUUCCGAUAUGAUCACCAAAGCUAAGCAAUGUUGUGCCUAGUCAGUAACUAGAUGGGUGACCACUUUGGAAUACCAGGUGCU
This is a non-coding RNA of Acanthosepion pharaonis, 104 nucleotides long. The record is from the annotation of a GenBank genome assembly. NCBI's taxonomy places the organism in Eukaryota, Metazoa, Mollusca, Cephalopoda, Sepiida, Sepiidae.